GGGGAUGAGGAAGGACAGUACCCUCAGAAUAAGUCUCGGCUAACUACGUGCCAGCAGCCGCGGUAACACGUAGGAGACUAGCGUUAUUCGGAUUUACUGGGCGUAAAGCGCGUGCAGGCGGUUCGGUAAGUUGGAUGUGAAAGCUCCCGGCUUAACUGGGAGAGGUCGUUCAAUACUGUCGAACUUGAGAGUGGUAGAGGGAGGUGGAAUUCCGGGUGUAGUGGUAAAAUGCGUAGAUAUCCGGAAGAACACCAGUGGCGAAAGCGGCCUCCUGGACCAUUUCUGACGCUCAGACGCGAAAGCUAGGGUAGCGAACGGGAUUAGAGACCCCGGUAGUCCUAGCCGUAAACGAUGUAGACUUGGCGUUGGAGGGGUUAAAUCCUUCAGUGCCGAAGCUAACGCGAUAAGUCUACCGCCUGGGGACUACGGCCGCAAGGUUAAAACUCAAAGGAAUUGACGGGGCCCCGCACAAGCAGCGGAGCGUGUGGUUUAAUUCGAUGAUACACGAAGAACCUUACCAGGGUUUGACAUGCUGGUAGUAGGGAUCCGAAAGGUGACCGACCCCUCGGGGAGCCAGCACAGGUGCUGCAUGGCUGUCGUCAGCUCGUGUCGUGAGAUGUUCGGUUAAGUCCGCUAACGAGCGCAACCCUUGCUGUGUGUUACAUGUGUCACACGGGACUGCCGGUCUUAAACCGGAGGAAGGUGGGGAUGAUGUCAAGUCCGCAUGGCCUUUAUUAUCCUGGGCUACACACACGCUACAAUGGCCGGUACAAUAGGUUGCGAAGCCGCGAGGCGGAGCCAAUCCUCAAAGCCGGCCUCAGUUCAGAUUGCAGGCUGCAACCCGCCUGCAUGAAGAUGGAG
Molecule: ribosomal RNA, 861 nt
Filed under: uncultured bacterium
Lineage: Bacteria
Description: bacterial SSU rRNA
Rfam family: Bacterial small subunit ribosomal RNA
Source: RNAcentral